Sarcophilus harrisii (Tasmanian devil) is the source of this 94-nucleotide small nucleolar RNA. The record is from Ensembl. Lineage: Eukaryota; Metazoa; Chordata; Mammalia; Dasyuromorphia; Dasyuridae.
GCUGGUAUAUAUGAUGACUAAACUUUUUUCCCCAUCAGAUCGACUAUGUUGAUCCUACUAUUUAUUCUUUGCCAGUUUUUUCUGAUAUACCAGC